UGCAGCAUGAUGUAGUGGUGAA
RNAcentral lists this microRNA (22 nucleotides) under Patiria miniata (bat star). RNAcentral's name for it is "Pmi-Mir-103_3p (mature (guide))". The record is from RNAcentral. Lineage: Eukaryota; Metazoa; Echinodermata; Asteroidea; Valvatida; Asterinidae.